GCGUUUGCUUGCUAGCAUUAAUAAAUAAAAACAUUAGCUGAAAGACUAGCAAAACCGUUUAGAGAAGUAUUACUUAACGUUAAUAAAAAUGUCUGGUGAAAUGUAAAGGGUGCCGAAAUCUUUAGGCUAGAAAAGCCGCACGGACCAUUUAUCGGAUCGGACCAGUGACUGAAGCUGCUCGAGCGAGCCGAGCUUACACAUCAGUUAUGCGACAGACACCAAGCGUUUGAAUUCGCUGAAUUUUCUAUUAUAGAAGUUCAAAACUCAGACGAAAGAGCAGAGUCGUAAGGCAAUCCGCUCUUUUAGCAGAAAUUCGUACCAGCGCCCCAAACUACAUAACGUUACGUUACUCCUACAACAGAGCGUAAAACAAGCCAUUCGUCAGUGUAUCAGAAUUAUUUGAAAGUGUUAAAAAAAACAACAACACAUACAUAGGCUAUAAUUGUUUUAUAUAGCCAUGCAUGUUGUAUUAAAGCCAUUACAGGAAUAAUGGAAUAGCCUAUAAAUGGAUUUCUUUGUAAAGAAAAGAUUACAACAGCGAAACCUCUGCAAUUUAAUAGAAACAUUUCAAGGUUGGUGCUAAUAUGGUCCACUACCUCAACAAUGAGACAAGCCAGGAUCCACAUGUCUUGGUGCUUGGAGACAAAGAAAAUUCCUCCCAGGUUUUCAUCAUUUCCACUGGAGAGGCAGUUGAAAAGGAGACCUUACUUCAAGCAGUGAAUGAAUGCUUCAAAAGGUUCUACAUCUAUGACGUAAACUACCCAAAGCCCUCUGCUCCAAUUUGGGAGUUCUUGCAGCAUAUAAUAUUCCUGAAGGAGUUCCUUCUACACAUUGCUGCCUCCUAAAAAACUUUGUAUUCAAAGUUACUGAUCAUCAGUAGAUCCAGUAGCCAAAACACACGUUUAAGGGUUAGUUCACCCACAAAUGAAAAUUCUGUCAUUAAUCACCCUCAUGUUGUUCCAAACCCGCAAGACCUCUGUUCAUCUUUGGAACACAAAUUAAGAUAUUGUUGAUGCAUUCUGACAGCUCUCUGACCCUCCUAUAGACAGCAAGGGUCCUUACACCAUCAAUGUCCAGAAACUUAGCAAGGAGAUUGGUAAAAUAAUCCAUGUGACAUCAGGGGUUUAACUUUAACAGCAUACACUGUUUGCGUUGAGUGGAUACUGUCCAAAAUGGCACUAGGGUGACACGGAGGAGACAAAUUGUUGAAUAAACUCUUUUUUUUUUUUUCUUUUGCCCA
Molecule: long non-coding RNA, 1240 nt
Organism: Cyprinus carpio (common carp)
Lineage: Eukaryota; Metazoa; Chordata; Actinopteri; Cypriniformes; Cyprinidae
Exons: 3
Source: RefSeq, a predicted model, not a curated record